GGCGUGCUUAACACAUGCAAGUCGAACGAACCUUCGGGUUAGUGGCGGACGGGUGAGUAACGCGUGGGAAUCUGCCCUCAGGAGGGGGAUAACGGCCGGAAACGGCCGCUAAUACCCCAUAUGCCGAGAGGUGAAAUGAAUUUCGCCUGAGGAUGAGCCCGCGUCUGAUUAGCUAGUUGGUGUGGUAAUGGCGCACCAAGGCGACGAUCAGUAGCUGGUCUGAGAGGAUGAUCAGCCACACUGGGACUGAGACACGGCCCAGACUCCUACGGGAGGCAGCAGUGGGGAAUUUUCCGCAAUGGGCGAAAGCCUGACGGAGCAACGCCGCGUGAGGGAUGAAGGCCUCUGGGCUGUAAACCUCUUUUCUCAAGGAAGAAGACAUGACGGUACUUGAGGAAUAAGCCACGGCUAAUUCCGUGCCAGCAGCCGCGGUAAUACGGGAGUGGCAAGCGUUAUCCGGAAUUAUUGGGCGUAAAGCGUCCGCAGGCGGCCUUGUAAGUCUGUCGUUAAAGCGUGGAGCUUAACUCCAUUUCAGCGAUGGAAACUACAAGGCUUGAGUGUGGUAGGGGCAGAGGGAAUUCCCGGUGUAGCGGUGAAAUGCGUAGAUAUCGGGAAGAACACCAGUGGCGAAGGCGCUCUGCUGGGCCAUAACUGACGCUCAUGGACGAAAGCCAGGGGAGCGAAAGGGAUUAGAUACCCCUGUAGUCCUGGCCGUAAACGAUGAACACUAGGUGUCGGGGGAAUCGACCCCCUCGGUGUCGUAGCUAACGCGUUAAGUGUUCCGCCUGGGGAGUACGCACGCAAGUGUGAAACUCAAAGGAAUUGACGGGGGCCCGCACAAGCGGUGGAGUAUGUGGUUUAAUUCGAUGCAACGCGAAGAACCUUACCAGGGUUUGACAUCCUGCGAAUCCCUUGGAAACGAGGGAGUGCCUUCGGGAGCGCAGAGACAGGUGGUGCAUGGCUGUCGUCAGCUCGUGUCGUGAGAUGUUGGGUUAAGUCCCGCAACGAGCGCAACCCACGUCUUUAGUUGCCAGCAUUCAGUUGGGCACUCUAGAGAGACCGCCGGUGAUAAACCGGAGGAAGGUGUGGAUGACGUCAAGUCAUCAUGCCCCUUACAUCCUGGGCUACACACGUACUACAAUGCUACGGACAAAGGGUUGCAAGCUCGCGAGAGUUAGCUAAUCCCAUAAACCGUGGCUCAGUUCAGAUCGUAGGCUGCAACUCGCCUACGUGAAGGAGGAAUCGCUAGUAAUCGCAGGUCAGCAUACUGCGGUGAAUACGUUCCCGGGCCUUGUACACACCGCCCGUCACACCAUGGAAGUUGGCCAUGCCCGAAGUCGUUACUCCAACCCUUGUGGAGGAGGACGCCGAAGGUGGGGCUGAUGACUGGGGUGAAGUCGUAACAAGGUAGCCGUACCGGAAGGUGCGGCUGGAUCACCUCCUAA
RNAcentral lists this ribosomal RNA (1445 nucleotides) under Cyanobium sp. PCC 7009. RNAcentral's name for it is "bacterial SSU rRNA". It matches the Rfam family "Bacterial small subunit ribosomal RNA". Lineage: Bacteria; Bacillati; Cyanobacteriota; Cyanophyceae; Synechococcales; Prochlorococcaceae. The record is from RNAcentral.